Molecule: ribosomal RNA, 134 nt
Filed under: Usnocetraria oakesiana
Lineage: Eukaryota; Fungi; Ascomycota; Lecanoromycetes; Lecanorales; Parmeliaceae
Description: 5.8S ribosomal RNA
Rfam family: 5.8S ribosomal RNA
About the family: 5.8S ribosomal RNA (5.8S rRNA) is a component of the large subunit of the eukaryotic ribosome. It is transcribed by RNA polymerase I as part of the 45S precursor that also contains 18S and 28S rRNA. Functionally, it is thought that 5.8S rRNA may be involved in ribosome translocation.
Source: RNAcentral
AUCUCUCGGUUCCAGCAUCGAUGAAGAACGCAGCGAAAUGCGAUAACUAAUGUGAAUUGCAGAAUUCAGUGAAUCAUCGAGUCUUUGAACGCACAUUGCGCCCCUCGGUAUUCCGGGGGGCAUGCCUGUUCGAG